UUGGACCUGAUAUCAGGUAAGAUUACCC
RNAcentral lists this ribosomal RNA (28 nucleotides) under Pythium aphanidermatum. Its description in RNAcentral is "28S ribosomal RNA". Lineage: Eukaryota; Oomycota; Peronosporomycetes; Pythiales; Pythiaceae. The record is from RNAcentral.